GGGUGAGUAACACGUGGAUAACCUACCUAUAAGACUGAGAUAACUUCGGGAAACCGGAGCUAAUACCGGAUAAUAUUUUGAACCGCAUGGUUCAAAAGUGAAAGACGGUCUUGCUGUCACUUAUAGAUGGAUCCGCGCUGCAUUAGCUAGUUGGUAAGGUAACGGCUUACCAAGGCAACGAUGCAUAGCCGACCUGAGAGGGUGCUCGGCCACACUGGAACUGAGACACGGUCCAG
RNAcentral lists this ribosomal RNA (236 nucleotides) under uncultured Staphylococcus sp. RNAcentral describes it as "partial 16S ribosomal RNA". It matches the Rfam family "Bacterial small subunit ribosomal RNA", at positions 104 to 334 of the family's 1533-position model. The record is from RNAcentral. Lineage: Bacteria; Bacillati; Bacillota; Bacilli; Caryophanales; Staphylococcaceae.